Molecule: ribosomal RNA, 472 nt
Filed under: uncultured organism
Description: partial 16S ribosomal RNA
Rfam family: Bacterial small subunit ribosomal RNA
Source: RNAcentral
UACACUCCUACGGGAGGCAGCAGUGGGGAAUUUUGGACAAUGGGCGCAAGCCUGAUCCAGCCAUGCCGCGUGCGGGAAGAAGGCCUUCGGGUUGUAAACCGCUUUUGUCAGGGAAGAAAAGGUUCUGGCUAAUACCUGGGACUCAUGACGGUACCUGAAGAAUAAGCACCGGCUAACUACGUGCCAGCAGCCGCGGUAAUACGUAGGGUGCAAGCGUUAAUCGGAAUUACUAGGCGUAAAGCGUGCGCAGGCGGUUAUGCAAGACAGAGGUGAAAUCCCCGGGCUCAACCUGGGAACUGCCUUUGUGACUGCAUGGCUAGAGUACGGUAGAGGGGGAUGGAAUUCCGCGUGUAGCAGUGAAAUGCGUAGAUAUGCGGAGGAACACCGAUGGCGAAGGCAAUCCCCUGGACCUGUACUGACGCUCAUGCACGAAAGCGUGGGGAGCAAACAGGAUUAGAUACCCUAGUAGUCC